Molecule: unclassified non-coding RNA, 193 nt
Filed under: Golovinomyces montagnei
Lineage: Eukaryota; Fungi; Ascomycota; Leotiomycetes; Helotiales; Erysiphaceae
Description: sequence contains ITS1
Source: RNAcentral
CAGAGCGUGAGACUCUGCCCGGGCGCGCCCCGCGUGCAGAGUUGACCCUCCACCCGUGUGAACUUAUGUCUUGUUGCUUUGGUGGGCCCGGCUCUUGGGCCGGCCUGCGUCUCGCGGGAUCGCGUCCGCCAAAGCCCCCCCUAACUCAUGUUGUCGUGUCGUCUGAGGAAACGAAAGAGAAAUUGAAUCGUUA